Molecule: ribosomal RNA, 477 nt
Filed under: uncultured Candidatus Scalindua sp.
Lineage: Bacteria; Pseudomonadati; Planctomycetota; Candidatus Brocadiia; Candidatus Brocadiales; Candidatus Scalinduaceae
Description: bacterial SSU rRNA
Rfam family: Bacterial small subunit ribosomal RNA
Source: RNAcentral
UUCGCAAUGCCCGAAAGGGUGACGAAGCGACGCCGCGUGGGUGAAGAAGGCCUUCGGGUUGUAAAGCCCUGUCAGGAGUUAUGAAAUGUAAGUGCGCUAAUAUCGUGCUUAUUUGACAAAGGCUCCAAAGGAAGCCACGGCUAACUCUGUGCCAGCAGCCGCGGUAAUACAGAGGUGGCGAGCGUUGUUCGGAAUUAUUGGGCGUAAAGAGCACGUAGGUGGGUUUGUAAGUCAGAUGUGAAAGCCUUCUGUUCAACGAAAGAAUUGCAUCUGAAACUGCGAAUCUUGAGUAGAGGAGGGGAGAAUGGAACUUCUGGUGGAGCGGUGAAAUGCGUAGAUAUCAGAAGGAACGCCGGCGGCGAAAGCGAUUCUCUGGCCUAUUACUGACACUCAGUGUGCGAAAGCUAGGGGAGCAAACGGGAUUAGAUACCCCGGUAGUCCUAGCCGUAAACGAUGGGCACUAAGUAGAGGGGUUUU